CCGAGUUUACAACUCCCAAAACCCACUGAGAACCUUACCUUUGUUGCUUCGGCGGGACCGCCCCGGCGCCUGUGAUGCCCGGACCUAGGCGCCCGCCGGAGGCCCUAAGCUCUUGUUUUUGAAAUCGUACUUUCUGAGUGGCACAAGCAAAAUGAAUCA
Molecule: unclassified non-coding RNA, 159 nt
Filed under: uncultured Hypocreales
Lineage: Eukaryota; Fungi; Ascomycota; Sordariomycetes; Hypocreales
Description: sequence contains ITS1
Source: RNAcentral